Molecule: long non-coding RNA, 769 nt
Organism: Ostrea edulis (European flat oyster)
Lineage: Eukaryota; Metazoa; Mollusca; Bivalvia; Ostreida; Ostreidae
Exons: 2
Source: RefSeq, a predicted model, not a curated record
CCGUGUUUCGAGUUACUCCGGAACACAGUGUUUAUUCUGUGUUUAGUCACGCCGCGUCAAAAAUGUUCCACAGGGUUACUUCCGGUUUAUCGUUGUUUACCAACAGUCGACACUUCGUGUAUUAGGCCUAGGCUUAAUUUUGUCGAUCAUCAUGAAAUUGAAAUACAAAUUUAAUAGUUUGGGGUGUAUGCGGUACAUAUUUGUUUAUGAGCGUUUGAUAAGCUACUAUUGAUCUACGAAAUACAACGAAAGACUUCGUCAAGAACAGAAGAAGACGAUGCAUGUCGUGUAACUCACACAAGGCCCAGCUGUCUAGUAACCGGAGGGGUAAAGGAAAAGAACGUAUUAGACUCACUGAAACCUGUCAAACAGGUAUAUGGGAACAGGAUCAUUUUCCAUGCCUUUCACUUGAGGUCUUCAGUUUCAUCAUUAAUCAUCUGAAUGUCGGUAUGCCAAACUCUCAUGAUGUCAUGCCAUUACUGGAUAUUCCUUAACAGUGGUUUAUUUAUGCCACACUACCUAUAACAUUGCCAAAAUAUUUGACUGAAAAUUUUCAAAUACACAAGAUUUGAAGCAGCAAAAGAAAAGAAUUACAUAUGUAUAACACACAAAAAAGAAGAAAUUAAUUCUCACCUGGCUGAUAUGAACUUUUUACUCCUUUUUAGCUCCCUUUCACUGCAUACCAGCCAAUAACUAGCAGUCAUUAUAUGCAGAUCAGCCAUUGUUAUCAACCUGUGUAUAUAUAUGUUGAAUGAAAUAUGAAUGAAAA